GUCACCUCCUCCUCUACGCUAAUUCCAUUCCCUCCGCUCUUCCAUUGCCUGGGUACUCUAAAGCCUCUCUUUAAUCUUUCCCAUGCGAAGGCACUAUCGUAAGGAUUGCUAGGGUUUGCAUCUAUGAAAGCAUUUGGCUUCUCAAAAUUUGGCAUCAGUUUUGAACAAGAGCCGAGGCAUGAUGCAGUGGGCGAAUCAAAUGGAACCUAAGUAAAGUUUGGAAGAAAGUAUUGCUCAUCGAUGCAUUUGGUUUUGAAGAAAUAAUAGGAUCUUCAAUGGUGCCACUGCUAAUACUAGAUUUGCUCAGUUCUUCACUAAACCAUUGAUGUCUGUUGAUACUACGACAAGGAAAAUUAAAGCUGUUGACUGUGGGGAGAAUUUUUUAGCCUCUAAACUGUGCUGGAUGCCAGAAGGACCUAGUGAGGAGGAAACUGUUCUCUGUGAAGUUAGUAGUCAACCAUGCUUGGUGGGAUCAUUGUUUGUAAUAUUCAACCUUUUUUCUAGAACAAUCUUAAUUAAUGUCAUUUUGAGCUUAUUAAUGCUAAAAGAAAUAAUUCUGAUCUUUAAUGCUUGUUCCUAUGUAUUUGAGUACUUUACUGAAGGAUCUUUCUCUGGAGCUAGUUGAAGUGCUUCUCAUCGGCGAUCCUGAUACUGAUAAGUUUGAAUUAUCUCCUGACGUUGCUCUGUGUUUUGAAUUCAAGUUCUUUAUCUUUGUUGCUGUGAUUUAACCAGUGUUCUGCUUACAUGGACGUUUGUGUCGGCUCCAAACGGUCUCGAAGGCUUUGAACAUUUCCCUGGUAAAGUUUGACUUUUUGAGCAGGUCGUUGUGUCUGCUUACAUUUAUAAUUUCAUAUGCAUCGCACAACUUCGAUAGCUUUCGUAAGAAGAGUUCUUUGAAAGCCUAAAAUAAUUUUUUAUUUUUUUCUUAAAAUAUUUUUAUUAAGAUUACCAUGUUUUUGUUGCUCAUUUUUAAUUCUCAUGUUUUAGGCAAAAAAAAAAAAGAAAAUCUCAUGUCUAUUUUUAUACUAUCAAGCAUAUAUUUUACAUCGCAAGAUUCUAUUCUAUUCUCAUCUUUAUUCCUAUUUUCAUUCUAUUAGAUAUCUUUUCGUUCCACCAAAUAUGGUCUUACAACAGGGCCUCACUCAUUUUGCCAAUUUCUAUUUUCUUUGAGAGAGUUUUGUAACGGCCUUUCUGGAUAUUUUAUUGUUAACCCAAAUCUAGCUUCUUCUUGUACUACUUUUCCCCAACUCCCAUGUUUAUUAAUAAAAGUUGAAGACAUUAAAUUUAUCUCAAUUUUAAAACUGGUAACAUUUGAGCCACAAAUUUAAUGUCUCGGUCUAAUUAUUUUAGUAAUUUAUCAAUUAUACUUACGCCAUAACUCAAGUUAAAGAAUUUAUAUUUACACCAACCAUUACUUUGGUGUUAACAUUGGUGCUUUUGAGGAGGCUUUAGACAUGGUGAGCCCACUGUUGUGGUCUCCUUCAUUUCCUAUUUCCUGUGAUAAUUUUCUUUCACAAGAUCUGAUGUUAGGCCAUGGUUUGUCUUCCAAAUUUGCUCAAUUCUUCAUCGAAUCAAUUAGAUCUGCUGAUGUUACCAUGAGGGAAAUGAUUCUAUAUGGCAUAUUGAAAUUUAAUUUAUAUGGUAUGUUGCAUUUUGAUAUUUUAAAGGGAAAAAAGGGUGAUUGGCUUACGGGGCGGAUCUUUUUUUGUGGGAUGGGUCUUGUAAAUAGGAGCCCCCUGUAUAAAAUGGGGCCUAAUGUGUUUCAUAAAAUAGAAAAAAAGGGGGGGUAUAUUUUUUAUUGGAAAGUCAGAGGAGUUAUUUGACAAUCUUUUCCUUUACAUGUGGUUUUCAUCCCUUUACCCCUUUAGGUCCCCUUCCUUUGAAUCUUUGGAUGACAUUAAUCUUGAAUCCUUUCUGGCGUAGCUUUUUCUCUCGUGCAGACAUGAUGCAAUGGGCCAAUCAAAUGGAAUCCAAGCAAAGUUUGGAUGAAUGUAUUCCUCAUCGGUGUAUUUGGCUUUGAAGAAAUAAUGGGAUCUUCAAUGGUGCCAAUACUAGGCACUAGCAGAUCAAGAUAGGAAGCUAUGUCAAAUUAAAGUCCUUGGGACGUAUGGGAUUUAUGUUGGAAAGAAACGAUUUAGAUUUUCUAUCAAAAAGUGAAGGGGAAGUUACUGUUCAUGUUGGAAAUACAGUCUUGUUAAUAAUAUCAUCUGCAAAUAGCAUCAGUUGCCUUUGUAGGGUUUGCUGUGAAGGGCGCUGCGAGUAGGCAAUGAAAGGUAGAACUGGAGGUAUUUUUGUCGAUGUAUUUGGCUUUGGAAAUCUUCAUUCUAUAUACCAAACAUGAAAGCAUGGCUUUCAUGUUGUAAAGAUCUGGGAUAUGGCCCGUGUCUUUCCAUAAAAAAUGGAUGAAUAUUUGCUUCUCAGGUUGGAAAUACUAGUAAAAUGACUAAUCCAUCCUAAUUUUUUAAUAUUUAGUUUAAGAUAUUUUCAUUAUUUUUUAUUAAGGUUAUUAUGGUCAGUUGCUCUUUUUAGUUCCCAUUACCUCUCUAUUUUUAUCCUAUCAAUCAAAUAUAUAAUAAAAAAUAUUUUUAUUUCUUUUCUUAUUUACCAAAUAUAUUUUAAAUUGUAAAAUUCUCUCCUAUUCUCGUCUCUAUUCUCAUUUUCGCUCCAUCAAAUGUGAUUUCUAGCCUUUGUGGCCUCGCUUGUUUGAUUGCUGUAUUUUUCGUGAUAUCUUAUCAUAUUAAAUCAUGUGCAUAAAAAAAUUAUAAAUCUUGAAUUCAUCUCAAUUUUAGAAACCAGUAACAAUGCAAAUUUAAUGGCCUAGAAUAUUUGUAUUAGUAAUUUAUGAAUUAUAUUUACAUUUUUUAUAUCAUCCAAUUAUAUUUACAUUUUUUAUCUACAAAAUUAAUGACGGUCUAAAUUUUUAAUUUCUUAAUUUCUUUAAGAAAAGUUGCGUGAAUGCUACUCUAUUCUAGUACUAUUUAAUUGUGAGAUGGUGCUUGGACCAUUAUUCCACUGUCGUCUGAGCAUUGGUUUUACAGCUAUGCGAAGAAACGGCAUCUGUUCUAAUACUACGUCUGAUGCGAGGUCAUCAUCGUCUGACAGUUUGAAGAAAUGGCAGGUUUUGCAGCGAUAGCCUCUUCGUCCCUCGUUUGUACAGUGCUGGGUUUUAUUAUUCAUCAACCUCCUUUCCACUCCUUUUUCUUUCCAUUCUAAUUUUCAAAGUGGUAACUGCUGCAACCUCUUUUGCUGUUUCUGUGACAUGUUUGUUUUGAUGCUUGUAAAUAGUUUCCCCGCUAAUACUGGCAAAGAUGGAAAAUGGCCCAUCUUAAGAUCCAUUUAGAAACUUCAUGCAUCCCAAACGUCGCAAAACCCUUGCUGCGGUUGACAAUGAUCAAUGAACAAUAUAUUCCCAACUAACAAAUCACGAACCUUGAGAGGGCUGAAUUCGUCUGAUCGGCACUGCUUGCGCGUGGUGAAAGUCGAAAGCACGAGUCGCACGCUACAUGACUGCAAUGCAGGGACUCGUGUCGCGGAUGUGAUGCAAUGGGCCAACUAAUGGAAUCUAAGCAAAGAUCAGAGGCUCUGUCGAAUUAAGGCCGAAGCUGUCAAUGGUAGCUUAGACUGGAGACACAAGUGGGAUAUAGUCUCGGCGGCUGCCGUGGGAUAAUCCGAAACCAUAAGGGCAACAUGACGCGGAGGUACCCUCUCCCCCACGCGAACAACAAUCAGAAAAGUUGCAGUUUUGUUCGAGGAUGAAAGAUUAAAUGAUGGAUUUUGAUUGUUCCUGUGCCUGAUAUUUGAGUACUAGAGGAAUUGUGGAGAAUGCAGAGUUGCUGAGUUGGAAGAGAAAUGAAAUGUUGCUGUCCACUUGGCUGCCAGCACGUUUCUCUCUUGGGAUUGAGAGGAAGUGACAGAAGAGAGAAGAGAGGAAAGAAGCGACUACAAAUUGACGAUGGCGGUGGGGAAGGAAGAGGUAGAUAUUUUUAAAGCUCGCUCGGACAAGAGGGAUUACAGAAGGAUCGUUCUUCGAAACUCACUUGAAGUGCUUCUCAUUGCGAUCCCAAUAUCGAUAUGGUUGAAUCUUCUCCCAAUGUUGUUUUCUAUUUUGAAUUCUAGUCUUUUUUAAAUUAUCUGUGUCUGUUAUUUUUCUAGUGUCGACUCCUUCAAUGAUCCAGACAGUCUUGAAGGCCUUGCCCAUUUCUUGGGUAUAGUUUGACUUUUUGAUGCGGUCAUCGGGUUUUGUUAAAUUUUUUAUACUUUGAACGACGUCGAUUGUGGGGGAAGGGUCUUUCCUUUUCGGUUCAAGAUGGGGGAAGUGGUGGGAAAAGGAGGUAAGGAAAAGGAGAGGCACCUUCCCCCCUCCCCACCGCCCACAAAAACGCCGGCAGCGGCUACUACUUUGAUAGCUUUUCAGUUUUGAAUAUUUUUAUUUUGCUUGCUGCGUUGGUAAAAACUCGGUGUUGUUGGAGAGUUGCAUGUUCCAAUAUACUUUAAAAUUAAAAUUACUUUCUGCAUGAAUAAUCAAUAAUUGCCGCCCAGCUAUUGUCAAGUUGACUUUAACAAUAGAUGGCUUCCCACCCAAAGAGAGACAAGAAAUAAGGAGAAUGAUAGACCUAAUCUGGUUAGCAAGAAUUCAAUUUAUAUUUUAACAUAGAUUGCUCACCUUAAGGGCGCUUUAUCUGAGGAUGUGAUGGGAAUGCUACUUAUUUAAAAAAUUAUAACCUGAUGAUCAGUUGAUUUUUGUUGC
Prosopis cineraria is the source of this 4747-nucleotide long non-coding RNA. RefSeq lists it as uncharacterized. The transcript is spliced from 7 exons. NCBI's taxonomy places the organism in Eukaryota, Viridiplantae, Streptophyta, Magnoliopsida, Fabales, Fabaceae. The record is from RefSeq and is a predicted model, not a curated record.